UAGAGUGUAUACGAUGCGUAAAAAUCCAUCUUUCGAAACGUGACAUUGUUUUCAUUGUUGGACCACGUGCAAACAAAGACACACCAAACUUGGAAGAAGCUCCCGCCAACUUCUUUGUCACUCCAUUCACAGAACUGUCAGUUACGCUCUUGAUGCUGAUUGGUCGAAACUUACCGGAAGAUAGGCUACUUUCAAUUCUCGCGAUUUCUCGCAAGGUGCCCCACGUAUACACAAAUCUGAACGUAACACGUUUCUCGCCGGUUACAGCACAGAAAAGAUGAUCACCGACAUACAGCUAGCUAUAUUUGCCAAUGCCCUUGGUGUGACACUCUUCCUCCUUGUGGUUCU
This is a long non-coding RNA of Pecten maximus, 348 nucleotides long. RefSeq lists it as uncharacterized. The record is from RefSeq and is a predicted model, not a curated record. The transcript is spliced from 2 exons. NCBI's taxonomy places the organism in Eukaryota, Metazoa, Mollusca, Bivalvia, Pectinida, Pectinidae.